Molecule: ribosomal RNA, 482 nt
Filed under: uncultured bacterium
Lineage: Bacteria
Description: partial 16S ribosomal RNA
Rfam family: Bacterial small subunit ribosomal RNA
Source: RNAcentral
AUUGAACGCUGGCGGCAUGCCUUACACAUGCAAGUCGAACGGUAACAGGUCUUCGGAUGCUGACGAGUGGCGAACGGGUGAGUAAUACAUCGAAACGUGCCCAGACGUGGGGGAUAACGAGGCGAAAGCUUUGCUAAUACCGCAUACGAUCUAAGGAUGAAAGCAGGGGACCGCAAGGCCUUGUGCGUUUGGAGCGGCCGAUGGCAGAUUAGGUAGUUGGUGGGAUAAAAGCUUACCAAGCCGACGAUCUGUAGCUGGUCUGAGAGGACGACCAGCCACACUGGGACUGAGACACGGCCCAGACUCCUACGGGAGGCAGCAGUGGGGAAUUUUGGACAAUGGGCGAAAGCCUGAUCCAGCAAUGCCGCGUGCAGGAUGAAGGCCUUCGGGUUGUAAACUGCUUUUGUACGGAACGAAAAGGCUCUGGCUAAUACCUGGGGCACAUGACGGUACCGUAAGAAUAAGCACCGGCUAACUACGUG